This 312-nucleotide ribosomal RNA is filed under the name Chloroflexota bacterium. RNAcentral describes it as "bacterial SSU rRNA". It matches the Rfam family "Bacterial small subunit ribosomal RNA", at positions 1 to 313 of the family's 1533-position model. Lineage: Bacteria; Bacillati; Chloroflexota. The record is from RNAcentral.
UUGUCGGAGAGUUUGAUCCUGGCUCAGGACAAACGCUGGCGGCGUGCAUAAAACAUGCAAGUCGGACGAGCCAAUUCCCGCAAGGGGAAAGGCUAGUGGCGAACGGCUGAGUAACACGUAGGUGACCUGCCCUGAAGUGGGGGAUAACGACUCGAAAGAGUCGCUAAUACCGCAUGUGACCACCGAUUCGUUUUCGGUGCUCAAAGUCGUAAGACGCUUUAGGAGGGGCCUGCGGCGGAUUAGCUAGUUGGUGAGGUAAUGGCCCACCAAGGCUUCGAUCCGUAGCUGGUCUGAGAGGAUGACCAGCCAGAC